GAUUGCCUCAGUAACGGCGAGUGAAGCGGCAAAAGCUCAAAUUUUAAAGCUGGCACCUUCGGUGUCCGCGUUGUAAUUUUGUGAGGCAUCUCCGGGUAGGGCGCCGGCCUAAGUUCCUUGGAACAGGACGUCAUAGAGGGUGAGAAUCCCGUGCUUGGCUGGCUGUCCCCGUCCAUGUGAGGUGUCUUCGACGAGUCGAGUUGUUUGGGAAUGCAGCUCAAAAUGGGUGGUAAAUUUCAUCUAAAGCUAAAUAUUGGUGGGAGACCGAUAGCGCACAAGUAGAGUGAUCGAAAGAUGAAAAGCACUUUGAAAAUAGAGUUAAAAAGUACGUGAAAUUGUUGAAAGGGAAGCGCUUGAGACCAGACUUCGGUGGGGAGUGAUCAGCUGUCCUUCUGGGCGGUGCACUUGCUCCCCUCCGGGCCAGCAUCGGUUGGGACGGCGGGAUAAAGGUCCCGGGAAUGUGGCUCCUCUCGGGGAGUGUUAUAGCCCGGGUGAAUGCCGCCAGCCCCGACCGAGGACCGCGCCUUCGGGCUAGGAUG
This 539-nucleotide ribosomal RNA is filed under the name Morchella esculenta. Its description in RNAcentral is "partial 28S ribosomal RNA". It matches the Rfam family "Eukaryotic large subunit ribosomal RNA", at positions 73 to 625 of the family's 3401-position model. RNAcentral also lists the same sequence under 3 other names. The record is from RNAcentral. Lineage: Eukaryota; Fungi; Ascomycota; Pezizomycetes; Pezizales; Morchellaceae.